RNAcentral lists this long non-coding RNA (1798 nucleotides) under Leptinotarsa decemlineata (Colorado potato beetle). RNAcentral's name for it is "uncharacterized LOC111514039". Lineage: Eukaryota; Metazoa; Arthropoda; Insecta; Coleoptera; Chrysomelidae. The record is from RNAcentral.
AGGGGAAAUAUGUACGGUUCAAUGAUUACGAUUAUUUGAGAAUGUAAUUCAAAUCUUGUUGGCUGUCUAUAAUAUUCCGAAAUCUGUGGAGGGUAUCGAUCAUCUACGUUAUACACAAUACGUCAAGUCUAGAAAACUGAAUACACUUGUGCAGUUAUCAAAUAUGCCACCAACUAGUGCAGCAGCCCAUCAAUAUUUCAAUCGUGUUCAUUAUCAAUUUUAAACUUGGUUAGGGCAUGAUUUGGAAACACACGAGUGAGGUUGGAUAAUACGUAACCAUUUCCUGUAACCCAUCACGACAAUUUCAGCACCUCUUCUGGAGAAAGUGCUCAACACAAUAUUCUGCAACUGUUUAGUUCGCGAUGUGGAUGCAGGGAAUCUGGUUUGUAGUGUUCUUUAGCAUGUGGCCAGUGUAAUGAGCAAGAUUGUCUCAGUGCUUUACUAUAUUAGAGCGAUGUCAAUGAGACCAGAACCUUUGUCUUCGGAAUUAUUAAAGGUCUGGAGACAAAGUCAUUGAAGACGAUUAAGAAGAGGACUUUGAAAUACUACAGGGGUCCGAAGACGGCGAUAAAGAAGAAGAAGAUGACUGAGAAUGGUGUAGUUCUUGUGUUUUAAUGAAUACAUCAAUUGAGAAUCAUUAUAAAUUACAUAACUGGGCGGGUGACUGUUGUUAAAAUAAAUUGAUACUUAAUGGAAAAUUGAGCAAAAUAAUUAUUGACUAUAAUGUAAUAGUUGAUAAGAAAUGGAGAUUAUUGAUAAUCAUGUAUUUAUCAAUGAUAAAUAAACGUCACAUGGCAUGUUUUUGACCGGGACUACCGGUUGACCUUGAAUGAUGCUUUUCCAAUUCAAUGUAUAUAAAUGUUUGAAACAAAAAUUGUAGGGAAUUUGGUCCUUUACAAUAUUGAUCAUGGAUACAAAUAGCAAAAAAUCCUCAGGAAAUGUGAUAAUUGCAAAAAAUAUGAAAUAAAUCGAUCUUUGUGACUUUUGACCUUAAAUUUUAAUAUAUCGUACCAUAUGUAGGUUCUGAGACAACUUUUAGUAUGUUUACAGGAGUUUAUAGCUGGGUAUCUGGAAUUCCGAGGUGAACUCACUAAAAUGACUGGACUGAAUAAAACAUUGGCAGAGGACAAAUAAUCUCGUUUGAUGAUCGAUGUCGAAGUUUGCCAAGAGUCAAAUUGUCAAAAAUAUUAAUUUCCGAAAAUAUUCAAUUUUUCAAAUUCAUAGCCUCAGUGCACCGCACUGUAUGGGUCGAUCUAAUAAAAGUUCAUUUACCUAAAUGAAGUUAUGAUAUUGGGCAAUUAGCGAUAAUGCAAUAAUGCUGAUUGGCGAUAUUAGACUUCGACCUAAAAUCGGGAACAAGAAUGUGUGGGCAUUGAUCAUUCGGUUGCCACCUUCUAAAGAUAACACAUCCAUCACCCCUGAAAAUGUACCUUCGUAUAUAAUUUUGUUUAAGCGUAACAUUGCUGAGGGUUAUGUAGAGGCGACGACAUCUCAUACGAAGACGUCACGAAUGUAAAUGAUAAACAUGGCUACCAAAAGCGAUCCAUUGCAAAUUUAGGCUUUGUCAACGAUCGCUGAAUGAAAUUUGUCCUCUGCCGCAUUCACUACAAGGCAACUAAGGCAAUAAUGAAAUUCAUUAAAAUAAAGGGGUGAUGGAUGUGUUAUCUCUAGAAGGUGGCAACCGGAUGAUCAAUGCCCACACAUUCUUGUUCCCGAGUUUAGGUUGCGGUACAAAAAUGUUUCAAUCAAUAAUGUCUCAAAUUAAUGUGUAUUUCCACAAUACAGUACGACAAAAACA